Colossoma macropomum (tambaqui) is the source of this 1478-nucleotide long non-coding RNA. RefSeq lists it as uncharacterized. NCBI's taxonomy places the organism in Eukaryota, Metazoa, Chordata, Actinopteri, Characiformes, Serrasalmidae. The transcript is spliced from 4 exons. The record is from RefSeq and is a predicted model, not a curated record.
AUCUGCAGUCAGAGUCACUGGUCACAGAAAGAAGCGAAGGAUAUGUAGAGAGAAUAUCAUAGAAGUGAUCUUUUUCUUUCUUAUUAGAAAACGGAUUUUAAUCUUUUCUUCCUGUAAACUGUGUGAAAGGAAACAACUGUUGGCUCAGCAGGAAAAGUCAGAUGGAUGCCAGAUCACAGUCAGUGGCUAUUGGAAUAGCAAUAGCAUUCUGCAUCCUUGGGGUGUUUGUGCUGGUCUGUGUGCUACAGAUUUGCUGGAAAAAACUCAAGAGCCGCUGCAAGAGGAAGCGGCCUUCAGCAAAAGAUAAAAUCCUGAAGAAAGUAGGUAUUAAGAAAUCAUCGCCUCCUUUCUCCAUCAGUGGGAUUAUAGACAAGAAAUGACGGCACAUGGUCAAGACAUGCAUCAGAAUGUGGACUUCGCUCCUUUUCUCUGAUAUGUGGAAACUUGUAUUUAUUUAUUUGUAAAAUGAUGAAUUCUUCUUUUAACUGUCUUUUACGUUACACCUAAUGGAUGGUGAUGUUUUAUGAUUCAUAACUUAGGUGGAAGUGAACUAUAAUAUUUAUAACUCUUACACCAAAACCCAAAAGGUGAAAUUACAGCUAAAUGUGAUGGUAUUCUCAUUUAUUUUAAAUCUUUAGGUUUUUUUCACAUUCUUUUGCCAUAAAAUAAGAGCUGAGCUCUUGACACUUCUUGUUGCAUUUAUUACAUUUUAGUUUUUGAAAGUGACACGUAAACCCCUUUCUGUCCUAAGCAAUAGGAAAAGGAAAUGAGAAGGAAAGAUAUUGCAAGACAGCAGUUGUUGAUGCAGGUGGUCUCAGGUGUGGUCAUUCUGUUCAGGGUUUCAGAUGCUCCUAUUUUUGGGCUUGUAUAGGCUUAGGGAUUUUGCUCUGUUGCACCACUUUACCCUUUUAACAGACAUUAAUUGACUAAUAAGUUGAAUAUGUGUAAAAUGAUCAUUAAUAGGGUACUGUAAUAGCAUCGAAGCACACAUAUUUCCUUGUUUGUUUUAAUGAAAAAUAUUCUGAUUUUAUUUGUGUAAAUCUGUUUAAGGCUGGGUUUGCUAGUUAGGGUUCAAGCAUGCAGUGCGUAGAACCCUAUUGGAAUUGUCAAGAUUUUUCUUUUUUUUCCUGCCAUAAAACGAAACGCACAGACCAAACCACAAGUCCUAGAGACACAGAACGUGGUCAAUAGUAGUCCCUCCCGCUACUCAGGCGCAUGACAUCAGCCCAAUCGGCCUACAGGGGGCUCUUUUGCCAUAAAAUAAGAGCUGAGCUCUUGACACUUCUUGUUGCAUUUAUUACGUUUUAGUUUUUGAAAGAUAUGGCAACCAUUUUAUGUGUGUGUGUGUGCCUGUGUUCUUUAGGUGGUUCUAAGACUCAGAAAAGUAUCCAGUCACCAUAAGGUUAGCCCCUUAAAUGGCCAUGGCCCACCAGGGGGGCGUAAAGUUUUCAUACACACUACAGUAACCUAAGAAAAGC